RNAcentral lists this ribosomal RNA (253 nucleotides) under uncultured bacterium. RNAcentral describes it as "partial 16S ribosomal RNA". It matches the Rfam family "Bacterial small subunit ribosomal RNA", at positions 524 to 776 of the family's 1533-position model. The record is from RNAcentral.
CACGUAGGGCGCAAGCGUUGUCCGGAAUUAUUGGGCGUAAAGAGCUCGUAGGCGGACUGUCACGUCCGCUGUGAAAAGCUAGGGCUUAACCCUGGCCUUGCAGUGGAUACGGGCAGACUAGAGGUAGGUAGGGGAGAAUGGAAUUCCUGGUGUAGCGGUGAAAUGCGCAGAUAUCAGGAAGAACACCCGUGGCGAAGGCGGUUCUCUGGGACGGUACUGACGCUGAGACGCGAAAGCGUGGGGAGCGAACAGG